GAUUAUGGCUCAGGACGAACGCUGGCGGCGUGCUUAACACAUGCAAGUCGAACGAGGAUCAAGAUGGAAGUCCUUCGGGGUGGAAGUUUGAUUCGAGUGGCGGACGGGUGAGUAACGCGUGAACAAUCUGUCCCGGACAGGGGAAUAACACUUGGAAACAGGUGCUAAUACCGCAUAAGACCACGCCCUCGCAUGGGGGAGAGGUAAAAGGAGCAAUCCGGUUCGGGGUGAGUUCGCGUCCGAUUAGAUAGUUGGUGAGGUAACGGCCCACCAAGUCGACGAUCGGUAGCCGACCUGAGAGGGUGAUCGGCCACAUUGGAACUGAGAGACGGUCCAAACUCCUACGGGAGGCAGCAGUGGGGAAUAUUGGGCAAUGGGCGAAAAAGCCUGACCCAGCAACGCCGCGUGAGUGAAGAAGGCUUUCGGGUUGUAAAGCUCUGUUAUAGGGGACGAAGGAAGUGACGGUACCCUAUAAGGAAGCCCCGGCUAACUACGUGCCAGCCGCUGC
Molecule: ribosomal RNA, 508 nt
Filed under: uncultured bacterium
Lineage: Bacteria
Description: bacterial SSU rRNA
Rfam family: Bacterial small subunit ribosomal RNA
Source: RNAcentral